GGAGAUUUUGUUACUUUGAGUUAAUUAGAGUGUUCAAAGCAAACAGGUAAAGCCAUUUUACUGCGUUUGAAUACUACAGCAUGGAAUAACAAAAUUGAACAAGUCAGAAUUCUGUUCUUUUUUCUUAUUUUGGCUUAGUUACGAUUAAUAGGAGUAGCUUGGAGGCAUUUGUAUUCAGAUGUCAGAGGUGAAAUUCUUAGAUUUUCUGGAGACAAACAACUGCGAAAGCAUUUGCCUAAAAUAUUUCCAUUAAUCAAGAACGAAAGUUAAGGGAGUGAAGACGAUCAGAUACCGUCGUAAUCUUAACCAUAAACUAUGCCGACUAGGUUUUGGAUGAAAAAUUUUUAAAUAAGAAAAUUCCUUUCGGGGAAAUUUCUUAGAUUGCUUCCUUCAGUACCUUAUGAGAAAUCAAAGUCUUUGGGUUCUGGGGCGAGUAUUCGCGCAAGCGAGAAAGUUAAAAGAAUUGACGGAAGGGCACCACCAGGCGUGGAGCUUGCGGCUUAAUUUGACUCAACACGGGGAAACUCACUAGUUUAAGACAAGAGUAGGAUUGACAGAUUAAUAGCUCUUUCUUGAUUUCUUGGAUGGUGAUGCAUGGCCGUUUUUAGUUCGUGAAUAUGAUUUGUCUGGUUAAUUCCGAUAACGAACGAGAUCUUAACCUGCUAAUUAGCGGCGAAUACGUUAUAUUCUUAUGUGAAAUUGAAUAUAGCUGAAUUUGCUUAUUUUGA
Molecule: ribosomal RNA, 728 nt
Filed under: Plasmodium ovale (malaria parasite P. ovale)
Lineage: Eukaryota; Apicomplexa; Aconoidasida; Haemosporida; Plasmodiidae
Description: SSU rRNA
Rfam family: Eukaryotic small subunit ribosomal RNA
Source: RNAcentral